GCAAGUCGAACGGUAACUUUUGGUGCUUGCACCGAAAGACGAGUGGCGAACGGGUGCGUAACGCGUAUGCAAUCUGCCUUUUACUAGGGUAUAGCCCAGAGAAAUUUGGAUUAAUCCCCUAUAAUAUCAUUUAAUCGCAUGAUUUUAUGAUUAAAGCUUCGGCGGUAAAAGAUGAGCAUGCGUCCUAUUAGUUAGUAGGUGAGGUAACGGCUCACCUAGACUCCGAUAGGUAGGGGUCCUGAGAGGGAGAUCCCCCACACUGGUACUGAGACACGGACCAGACUCCUACGGGAGGCAGCAGUGAGGAAUAUUGGACAAUGGACGAAAGUCUGAUCCAGCUAUGCCGCGUGCAGGAUGACGGCCCUAUGGGUUGUAAACUGCUUUUAUACAGGAAGAAAAACUCCGACGUGUCGGAACUUGACGGUACUGUAAGAAUAAGGAUCGGCUAACUCCGUGCCAGCAGCCGCGGUAAUACGGAGGAUCCAAGCGUUAUCCGGAAUCAUUGGGUUUAAAGGGUCCGUAGGCGGUUUUUUAAGUCAGAGGUGAAAUCCUGCAGCUCAACUGUAGAAUGGCCUUUGAUACUGAAAGACUUGAGUUAUUGUGAAGUGGUUAGAAUGUGUGGUG
This 624-nucleotide ribosomal RNA is filed under the name uncultured bacterium. RNAcentral describes it as "bacterial SSU rRNA". It matches the Rfam family "Bacterial small subunit ribosomal RNA", at positions 57 to 675 of the family's 1533-position model. The record is from RNAcentral.